This is a long non-coding RNA of Tachysurus vachellii, 152 nucleotides long. RefSeq lists it as uncharacterized. Lineage: Eukaryota; Metazoa; Chordata; Actinopteri; Siluriformes; Bagridae. The transcript has 5 exons. The record is from RefSeq and is a predicted model, not a curated record.
CUAAAUUUUUUAAAUGAAGCCUUUAAUCAGAACAGCCCUGAGCCAGCAGUCAUAACUGUCUCAGGUCCAUCAAAUGCUGCCGGUGUUGCAGAGCCAAUAGCAGUGUGCUCUACUUCCUCACCAAUGGAUAACCCUACAGCGUCUGAUUCGGU